This is a non-coding RNA of Vicia faba (fava bean), 306 nucleotides long. The record is from the annotation of a GenBank genome assembly. Lineage: Eukaryota; Viridiplantae; Streptophyta; Magnoliopsida; Fabales; Fabaceae.
AUGAGUCACUUUCUCCUAAGUUCAACCAUCUUUCUCUCUUCGUCUAUUCAAAUCGAUGAUGAGCCACUUCGCAACGCCUCCACACGCCCUCAGAAUCUUUCAAUCUCUGCUCAUCUCGCUCAAAUAGAGAAUCGAAAUAAAGGGAGAAAUAGAGAAGGAAAAGGAAGGAGUAAACAGCAUCACGUGCGUUGUCCAUACUCUCUCUCUCUAUCAACCCGUCCCACCAAUACAGCGAGAUCCCCUUCGACACACCGUAUAAUCCGAUUCCGGUUUCCAUGGAAACAAUCUCAAAGAUCUAGCUUCUAG